RNAcentral lists this long non-coding RNA (1660 nucleotides) under Gossypium barbadense (sea-island cotton). RNAcentral's name for it is "long non-coding RNA (GBAR_LNC005206)". The record is from RNAcentral. Lineage: Eukaryota; Viridiplantae; Streptophyta; Magnoliopsida; Malvales; Malvaceae.
AAUUAAAAAUUACUCAACCCUAAUAAAAAUUUUGUAUUCACGUCUCUGCCCUACUGCCCUGCUGCUAUUAUUUUUUCGACAACUGCUUUGCUACUUCACGUUCCUGCCCUGUUAUAUUUUUUCCAGCAACUGUUUUGCUGCUUCAAUUACUCUGCUUCACGUCUCUGCCCUACUGUUAUUUUUUUUCCAGCAACUGCUUUGUUGCUGAUUUGCUUUGGUUUCUAUCUUCCGAAAUAAUAAUUCUAUCUUCACGUCUCUGCCUUGCUGCUAUUAAUUUUUUUCUGGCAACUGCUUUGCUGCUUCACGUCUCUGCUUCACGUGUCUACCCUAUUGUUAUUUUUUCCAACAACUGCUUUGCUGCUGAUUUGCGUUGGUUUUUUGGCGUGGCUGCCGCAAUUUAUUUUACAGGUGAGGGUUUUUUUUUCUAUUAUGCUAAAAUAGAUAGGAAAGCAAGAAAGCCAAUGCUAGUUCCUAAUAAUUAAAUGAAUAGUUUAAACUAUUCUUGAGCAAAAAACAAGGAUCUAAUCUUUAGGCAGCUUUUCAUGUAAUACAAUAUAAUUAAAUAGUUUUAAAUAAAAUUAGUGAAUUCUAGCAUUAUGCUCAAUUAGAUCAACAUGUUAGGUUAUUUUGUAUAAGUUGGAAAUAUUGGUUGUAAGUUCAUUGUGUUUGGGUUCUCGAACCUGAGAUCCUGACCAUUGGAAUAAGCAGUAUCCUAGAAGUGGAAUUGAUGGCUUGAAAAUGAUGAAAAGAUUACCAAUAUAUCUAAUAUUAGUCAUUUUUAUAUCUGUUCACUAUCAACCACUGAGGCGGAACUUUUAGUAAUUGAUCAUGCUAUUCAUUGUGGAAAACUAUAAAUUGCCUAUGACAAAUGUCAGCAUUGAUUGCUGGAAGGUAAUAGAGAUUUUAUUUCUGGAUAUGGAUUACAACAUGCAGGUUCCUUUUAACAUUUGCACUGGGAGCUGGUCCUGUUCCAGGUCUCCUCUUACCUGAAAUUUUCCUUAAUCGAAUCUGGGCAAAAGCUAUGGCGUUCUGUAUGUUAGUGCACUGGGUUAUUUUCUCCUCUUUUCUUUCUCUUUCUCUUCCAUAUCAUUUUUCCGAAGAGAUUGUGAUAGCUUUCGCAGCUCCGCAAGCUAGGAUAUGAAAUUAUUAGGAAACAAAAUAGAAAUAGAGAAUCUUAUUGCUAUCUUCUGAUGUUAUUUUUCUUGGUUGCUUUUACAUUGCUCUUCAGGUAAUCAAUUUCUUCGUUGGUUUGCUCUUCCUGUGCUUGCUACAGCAACUUGGUCCACAGCUCUUAUACUUGAUUUUCGCCAGUGUUUGCAUGAUGGAAGAAUUUGACAAUAAAGUCACCAAACUCCAGCAAGGAGCAACAAGAACGCUAUAGCUAAACAAGCGCAUGUAAUAACUAUUACUCUGCCUUUGUUCUCUUCAAGUUCCUCGUGAUGUUUCAAUGAAAUUGCAGGUUUUAGAAAGGCCACCUUCAAAAACAAACUGUUGUAAUAUUUAUCAUUGUGAUUCAAUUUACAAACAAAUUAAGUGUUGAUAUUGUGCAUAUUUAGUUUAGCUUCAAUUUUGGCUAUUCUAUUCAACAAUCGUUUUAAUAUAGCAACUAAUUGGUUAUUGUGGAUGUUUCACUUGCUCAGCGAAAAAGUGCAGAUUUUAA